CUUACUUUCCUUCUGACGGUAUAUUACUUGAGACAUGGGAACCCUCAAUAUGACAAUCAUGCUAUGUUUUCUGCUCCUCAUGCCACUCCACUUAGUUCCUGGUUCAGAGGCCAAGACGUGCAAAGAGCUCAGUGGGACAUAUACCGCUUCACGUUGUGAUCAGGCUGAAUGUGUUGUGGCCUGCCGCAAGGAGAGCUUUACCCAAGGGGAGUGUGAAGUUAUUGUCAAAACAAAAAAAAUUAUGGUACUUUGUUUUUG
Molecule: long non-coding RNA, 258 nt
Organism: Triticum aestivum (bread wheat)
Lineage: Eukaryota; Viridiplantae; Streptophyta; Magnoliopsida; Poales; Poaceae
Exons: 2
Source: RefSeq, a predicted model, not a curated record